Ictidomys tridecemlineatus (thirteen-lined ground squirrel) is the source of this 107-nucleotide small nuclear RNA. The record is from Ensembl. Lineage: Eukaryota; Metazoa; Chordata; Mammalia; Rodentia; Sciuridae.
AUGCUCUCUUUGGCAGCACAUAUACUAAAAUUGGAACAAUACAGAGAAGAUUAGCACGGCCCCUGAACAAGGAUGGCAUGCAAAUUCAUGAAGCAUUCCAUAUUUUU